Non-coding RNA from Schistosoma haematobium, 45 nucleotides. NCBI's taxonomy places the organism in Eukaryota, Metazoa, Platyhelminthes, Trematoda, Strigeidida, Schistosomatidae. The record is from Rfam.
AUCCAGCUGACGAGUCCCAAAUAGGAUGAAAAGCGCAUCGUGGAU